GAUGAACGCUGGCGGCGUGCCUAAUACAUGCAAGUCGAACGGCAGCGGGGGCUUCGGCCCGCCGGCGAGUGGCGAACGGGUGAGUAAUGCAUCGGAACGUGCCCAGUCGUGGGGGAUAACACAUCGAAAGAUGUGCUAAUACCGCAUACGUCCUGAGGGAGAAAGCGGGGGAUCUUCGGACCUCGCGCGAUUGGAGCGGCCGAUGUCGGAUUAGCUAGUUGGUGGGGUAAAAGCCCACCAAGGCGACGAUCCGUAGCGGGUCUGAGAGGAUGAUCCGCCACACUGGGACUGAGACACGGCCCAGACUCCUACGGGAGGCAGCAGUGAGGAAUAUUGGUCAAUGGACGCAAGUCUGAACCAGCCACGUCGCGUGAAGGAAGACGGCCCUACGGGUUGUAAACUUCUUUUAUACGGGAUAAAGUGCCCCACGUGGGGGUUUUGCAAGUACCGUAUGAAUAAGGAUCGG
RNAcentral lists this ribosomal RNA (466 nucleotides) under uncultured bacterium. RNAcentral's name for it is "bacterial SSU rRNA". It matches the Rfam family "Bacterial small subunit ribosomal RNA", at positions 28 to 496 of the family's 1533-position model. The record is from RNAcentral.